UGUCAUUGACCCAAAGGGUGAUCUCGUUGGGGUGCUCCACGGCUUCUUUUCUCAGUACAUCAAUUGUCUCACGGAUGCCCGGACCGUCACUUGUAUAGUACUCGGAGCAUCGGAACACGACCUUCUCAAGACUGUCGAGAUGCUUGAUGCCCAUGGAGUAGUGUUGCCUGGCUCUCUGCCGGUGUAGAACUUGAACUCAAGAUGUUUCAGCUUCGGCAUCGCUCCUUCCCCGAAGGUGAUCACCCAUGGCAGACGGCAAUCAACGUAGAACGUCUCCAGCUUCAAGAACCCUCCACCGGUGAUGGCAACCGGAUCCCGUACGUGGGAGGACCUCGAACCUUAGUUCGAGAGCCUGCAGGUUGGGCAUCUUCGUCUUCAGAAACUCGAGAUCUUCCUCCACCAGUUUGCAGAGACUGACAUCUAAGGUGCAGACAUUGCACAAGUCUUGCUUGAUCCACUGCGGGACUUUCAUGUGUCUCCCGGCAACUCUAAGCAACCGAACUGGUAGGACUUCACACCUAUCGCCGAAAUGGUUAAAGAGGAUGAGGAUGGAUAGGUCAUCCCUGCACUUUGCUUCAGAAGAGGAAAUAAUAACCUCUUCACCACCACUUGAGCUAAUGACACCCAGAGGCGACAUCAACUUCUCCGACCUAUGUUUACGUUCAUCAGCAACCACACUUAAUAACGGAUUCGGGUCUCUACAACUGGAUACCUCUUAUGUCCAGAGUCCUCAGAUGCUGCAGUUUCCCGAUUUCCUUAGGCAACUCUCUCAGUACCGGUGUCCAGCUUACAUCCAGAGUCUCCAAACGCUCAAGGUUCUUGGUUUCCGUUGGUAGUUUACUAAUCCGUGUACCUGCCACGUACAGGGACUCCAGAUUCUGCAGUCUCCCAAUCUCCCGUGGGAGCUCUGUGAUUUGAUGGCACUCGAAGAUACCCAGAUGCUUGAGCCAGAUCAGCCCACAUAUAUCCACCAGAUGAUCAUUCUCUAGACGACUGCUGUUAUGUAUUUGUAGCACUCGCAGCUUUUUGAACGCCUUGAAGGGGAGACCAUCCAGCUGGGAUUGAUAAACGGAAACAACAAGGGAGCGAGUAUGAGACAGCACAUCCUCAUCUGGACAGCGAUCCUCCGUGCUGAGAUAAAGACGACGGAUCUGUUUGGCAUGCGAGGAGUUGCCGGCCCGAUCCUUUGCUUUGCACACGAGGAAGGCUCGCAUAAUGGGGUGAACUGCGUGCAUCUUCCAAUCCCGCUGCAACAGAUUCCUGUAGACAAGCUUGUCAAAGUAAGCUUCUGCUACUUCAACUUGCGAAACAAAUCCUUCAGCAAUCCAUUUUGUCACCAACCAUCCCCUAUAAAUGCUAAAAUAUACCCCUGAGGAUAUAUGGUACAGUAUAGCAAGCAAGUCCUCAGCUGAACGGGAAGAUCGUCGAAACCAAGGCAUAGACUCUGGACCAGUGGUUUCAAGGAUGGAGUACUCAGAAACCCAUCAUCCAGAACGUGACUUGCCCAUGUAUCCCAUUCCUCCUCAUCACCUUGCACAUGGUGACGACAAACAGAUUACUGCUAGCGGACAAAAAUAAAAUGGUGGCCCGCUGCACAUAUCCGCAAUCUUGGUGGACAGCUCCUUCGCGUUGGUUCCCUCGACAGAUUUGCUCAUCAGUAUCAUAGCUGAUAGUCUUUCAGUUCCGCACGACCAAACUCCUGUUCGUACACACGUGCACCAAUUUGUUCACAUUUCCUAGCUAUACUCCUGUCCCGGGUCGUCAUGAUUAAUUUACAGCGCAGAUUAUUCUGGGGAAGAGCCUUACGGAUGACUUCCCAUUCUUCCCAGGGCCAAAUGUCAUCAAUUAUGACCAGGUCCCUACAAAAUAAAAACAAGACCAAAGAAACUUUAUAACAUUUUGGCCAUCUUAUCCCAUGUUACUAUUACAAAUUGAUUGCAAUGUUCAUACUAACAUGACCUACUAAAAAAAGAAUCAUAGAAAUUCCCAUAGACGACAUGCAGCCAUCAAUUUGGUAGUUAGCCUGGAUAACCAUAGGUACUGGGUCUAAUUUGUUUCUAAAUUAUUCAAUUCACGUCUGCCAUUAUAUGAAAGAGAAUAACAACUUUUCAUGCCGUUGCAAUAACGAAACAUUAUAAUCUAUCUACACAUUAUAAUGGCUAUCAAUCACCUGUGACAGUGUCCAAAUCCGUUGAAUCUUUUCCUCUUGCUCUAAAGGUGCUCAUACUCUGAUUAACGUGCACGAAAAACAACCACGAACUCUCUCCUGCCCGCUGCUAUUUUCGCAUCUCCAUCGCAAACCUCUGCGCGCACAGAGCUUGCAAGAGCAGGCCUCCGAAACAUCGUCUUGCUGCUACACUUGCACGAGUAGGCGCCUCCGAAACAUCGUCUUGCUGCUACACUUGCACGAGUAGGCGCCUCCGAAACAUCGUCUUGCUGCUACACUUGCACGAGUAGGCAGGGGAUCAAGUUUUUGGGGAGCGCAUCUCUGCGCGACUGCUCGCUGUGAACGUCUACAUCCUGCUACUUCUCGGAGGAUGUUCGAGGGACUGCACUGCACCAAAUCAUCACUACAUCAACUUUGAUCGACUACAUCGAACAGCCCAAACCGAAGAUUUAGGAACAAUGUCUGAUUCUUACAUUCUGAACCUUCUCUGGUUCUUUUAUUUCAUUUUGUUCAUUAUUAAAUUUGUGUUAACCAUGAACACUCGCACAUGCUCUGAAUCACUCACAAUAUUCAUGAUUUACUUAAUAAUAUUCGGAAUUAAGAUAUACGUAAAUUGUCUAAAUUUCUAACAUAAGCCCCCCAAUUCAACUAAAACGGGCACAUGCCUUUGGUUCUCCCCAUAACCCUAAUGGCAGGCGCUCUAGUCGCAGCAGCAGCAAAUCCCCACCGGCAGCGACCAACCCAUAAACCCUAAACCCUCAUGGUUGUGGAGCACCAAUGGAAUUCCAUGGAAGCACGACAGCGAAAUGGGGAUACGAGGAAGUAGGGGAAGCAGUUGCUACCUCGCGCCGUCGCGGCGACCAUGGCAUCGCGCUCGGAGCUGAAACCGGGAUGGCACGGGCGCCGGUGGUGGGUAGCGCGCGGUGGCCGCCAGUGGGUAGGGCAGGGGUGGCGGAUGGCGACGGCGGAGGCAGAGAGGAGUGGAGUGAAAAAGCAGAGCGGUGAGAGAAAGUGAGACUACGAAGGCCGAGGACCACCUGGUACUUGCAGCCCAAUGAAAACGAGUUAAUUACGCGCCAGCCAUUAUAAAUCCAUUUAUUGCCCUUUGAAAAAUUGGUUGCGCACCCAACUUUUUUAUUGCCCUUGGUGCCAUUUUCGUCACUUCCGUUACUGUAACUUGCCGUUAGAACUCAGAUUUUUAUGGAAAAAAUAGCCAAAGUACCCCUCUUACAGGCGGGGCCUACUCGGAAGGCUCAACGAAAACCAAUAGGUCUUCCCUUCCCAACCUCUGUUCCCACCAUCCUUCUCUCUGGCGCCCCUGAACGGGAGCUCGAUGAGGGGCAAGUGCAGUUUAUUUUAUUUUUUUCUUUGAAAGAGGGAUCGGAUCCGCAGCUUUCCGUGGUGAGCACUAGAGACGGCGAGCUCAUCAGGUGGGGUCAUGGCUGCAAGCAGUGACGAAGUUAGAGCAAAUUAGAGGGGGGUACGCUUGCCUUGUGGGUGUAUAGAGUUGAAAUGUUAUGGAUGCAUAUAUGGUGAAAAAUUGACCUUAAUCAUUGUUUUGCAUUUUUGUUGUGGGUGCAUUUGCACCCCCCUAAUCCUAACGUAGCUUCGCCCCUGGCUGCGAGGCUGGGGAGGUGGCGACGGACCGAGGGAAGCGGCGCUCGGAAGGCUCGAGAAACUUAGAUGUUGUGGUUAGCCUGAUCAAAAUCCAACGGGUUGUAAUAAAAGGGAAUAUAUAUCCCAAAGGGUUAUAAACAAAUGAAUGAUGCACUAGCUGUGUCACUGCACAAGAACACUGGAUAACGAAAGUGUCAAACUAAUGGAUGUAGCACAUGGGGACCGUCAAGCUGUGCACCUAAAUUAAUUUCAUCUGAUGAGGAGGCAGGAAGAAUUACCUGAAACCUUUAAUUUGACCUUUUCGGUACCUCAUGACGAACGAUCUCCUGAGGGCUAGCUUUAACGAAGAAUCCAAGAUCAUUGCGUUUUUUAUCUUUCUAAACGAAUUCGAUCUGGUCUCAGCAGGCUCCAGCGCACUAGAUACAAAUCCGAGAUGGGAGCUCAGCUCUGUCCCAUUCCAUGUCAAGGCAGAGUGCUCUGCAUCAGCAUCUGCACCACCAUUUUCCCUUCCACUCCUGAUGAGUGCAGUGCAGGAUGCUAGGUGUAAUCCGGUCAUGCUUUCCUCGAUCGAGGAGCGCCAUCUUGCAAAUCGAAUAAUCGAUAGACCCAUUCCGAUUAACCAAAGUGCUUAAUUAUCUGAUUGCGACAAGUUGAAUAAUUGCGCUGUCUUUUUUUUAUUAGAUUAGUCUUUUACCAAGGUGCAACGUACUAGCUUGCUUAUAUGGAUCAGUACACAGUAUUUUGAUGAGCAGGUAAAUAUGCAAAACAGAAAAGCAUAGACGCGGCCGCACGCGUCAUCUUCUUCUGCGACCCGGUGCAGAGAGAGUUUCAUUCUUGGAUUGGCGGGUGGCCCUGUUCACUCAGGUGGAGAUGGCCAGGCCCAGGCCCAGGCCCACUUCAUAGGAGAACUUAUUUUGGCCCAUUUCAACUCCUUGUCUCAUCCAAUCCCUCCAACAACAGAUAGGAUUCGCACAUUGCAGCCAUGCCUAGAGCAAAACCAAACAUAAGCCAUUUUUUAAUUUAACCUUUUUAAUAAUAUUUUAAAAACUACCCCUCCAGACAAAUAUUUUCAUCCCGUGACACUUUUGAUCGCGUCAGUCCGUGUGUCACAACAAGAUAACACUAUCACGCAAUAUGCAUUGGUGUGAUGAGCCUGCCAUGCUAACAAGGGGAGAUGACAUGAACUCCUCUUGUCACGCCAACGCAUGCGGCGCGAGAACAUGAUUCUGCCACGCCAACUUGCCUCGGUGAUGAGUGGCAUGUACAAUUCAAUUUAUCCAAUUUGACCAUCUAAAUAAAAAAGUAUUUCAACAUUAAAUUCUACGAAACUCGGCAUGCACGGUGUAUAUGGUGUGGACGUUCCAUUUUAGUAACAUGCACAAUGCAAAGUGCCAUAUAUUUUGAAAUUUUUAAUUUCAAAGUAGGCUUAUAUCCCACUUAGGGUUCUAGUUAAAUAAACCUACUUGGGAGCAUCUCAAUAAAAUAGCGUUUGAACUUUGAAUGUGAAGCACACUAUAUAGGGUAUAGUGUAAAGGUCCCAUUUUACUAAUAUUUAUAAGAUCAAAUGCUACAUAUUUUGAAAUACAUAAUUUAAAUGUAAGUUAUUUAUUGUCCCUCUAUCCCUCUUAGAACAGCUUCCAAGUGUUAAAUAAAUUCACUUUGAUUUUUUCUUUCCUUAGUUUAUUACUUAAUGAACUUUAAAUAUUCUAAAACUCUAUUUAAUACGGAAGCAAAUAAUUAACAGAACUGAAUUACUAGCGUGAAUCAUACUCAUAUGGCAACUUUUAUCUGAAAAAAUGUUGGAAUGAUUGGAUGGAUUAGUUGCUAGGAGUGUUCAGUGUGCGCAUGCAUGGUGCAAGCUUGGACUGCAUGUGACGAAGAGAAACUAAACUGGAAAAAUAAUCAUAAUCAAGUGUGCGUACAGAUAAUGUCACAUAGAGUCAUGGAGAAGGAAGGUCCGAAUUUGAUAAAUAGUUAUAGUAGCGCAAUUGUUCCCUCAAUCGUCGUUCCCUGAUUUCAAGAUUGCGUUUCCUUUCUUGAAUUUCCUUUUCAAUUCCAGCCCUUGCGUUGUUUUUGUCCCGCUGAGCUCGCCCCUCUGCUGCCGUCGAUAGUCGAAGACGUUGUUCCUCAAUGCGUUUUUGUUUCCGCAUUUUCUCAACUACUUUUUCCCUUUUCUCAAUUUCUUUUUCCCAUUCUUCAAAUUCACCGCUGCGGAAAACCUUACAUUCCAUUUUAUUGACCCAAAGGGUGAUCUUGUUGGGGUGCUCCGCGGCUUCAUUUCUCAGUACAUCAAUUGCCUCGCAGAUGCCCGGACUGUCACUUGUAUAGUACUCGGAGGAUCGGAACACGACCUCCUCAAGACUGUCGAGAUGCUUGAUGCCCAUGUAGUAGUCUUGACUUGCUGUGCCGGUGUAGAACUUGAACUCAAGAUGUUUCAGCUUCGGCAUCGCUCCUUCCCCGAAGGUGAUCACCCGUGGCAGACGGCAAUCAACGUAGAACGUCUCCAGCUUUGAGAACCCUCCAUCAGUGAUGGCAACCGGCUCCUGUGGGAGGACCUCGAACCUGAGUUGGAGAGCCUGCAGGUUGGGCAUAUGCAUCUUCAGAAACUUGA
Molecule: long non-coding RNA, 6395 nt
Filed under: Setaria italica (foxtail millet)
Lineage: Eukaryota; Viridiplantae; Streptophyta; Magnoliopsida; Poales; Poaceae
Description: long non-coding RNA (SITA_LNC006315)
Source: RNAcentral